This 372-nucleotide ribosomal RNA is filed under the name uncultured organism. RNAcentral's name for it is "bacterial SSU rRNA". It matches the Rfam family "Bacterial small subunit ribosomal RNA", at positions 526 to 896 of the family's 1533-position model. The record is from RNAcentral.
CGGAGGGUGCGAGCGUUGUCCGGAAUCACUGGGCGUAAAGGGCGCGUAGGCGGCGCGGGUAGUCAACGGUGAAAGCUCAGGGCUCAACCCUGAGUCGGCCGUCGAUACUCCCGUGCUUGAGCACUGUAGAGGCAGGUGGAAUUCCGGGUGUAGCGGUGGAAUGCGUAGAGAUCCGGAAGAACACCGGUGGCGAAGGCGGCCUGCUGGGCAGUAGCUGACGCUGAUGCGCGACAGCGUGGGGAGCAAACAGGAUUAGGUACCCUGGUAGUCCACGCCGUAAACGAUGGGUACUAGGUGCUUGGGGGAGCGACCCCCUGAGUGCCGGCGCUAACGCAUUAAGUACCCCGCCUGGGGAGUACGGCCGCAAGGCUG